GAUAUACUCUAGCAGAGAAAACAGAAACCAGUCUGUUGAACACGCUGCCGUCAGAACCACACUGAAGACCCAUUUGGAUGUAAGACUCGCCCCCCUGUGGCAGAACCAGCUACCAGAGAACUUCAGGACUGCUCCGUCUCUCACUGCCUUCUGCCGCCUCCUCAAGACCCAUCUGUUUACACUGAACUUGAAGAUCCCUUAAUCUACCUCUCCUAUUAUGCACUGGACUUGCCUGACUUAAAAACCACGUUACACAGUGCCUGAGUUGAACAGCGCCACCUUGGGUUACAGGCCUUUACAAAUAGCAAGAAACAAGUUAGAAUUUAAAGUGUUACAGAUUGCAGUUCAUGCCCCCUCCUGCAACAAUGCUGGUCCUCUGAUAUAAACAAGUGAUGAAGUGUGGGAACAGAAAACCAGCACUGUUGCAGGUAGGAGCAUGAUCUGGAUACCCUGCGAGCCCAAGAAAACACUUUAUUUUCUCCUGGCAACUGCUGUCUAGUAAAUGUUUUAAAAGGGUUGGCAUUAUGUUUAAAAAUAUAACGCUGUGAUACGGACAAGAAAUAAACAUAUAAACCUUGCUUUAACUGGCCUGGCAUGCAUCUUAUUCAAAGGCAGCCCUGAAAGGUUUUUUUGUGUGGAAACCUUGUGCUUGGCCUAUAAGAAUUUACAAAAGUGCAAGCACACAGUAUAUCACAGUAUCCCUCAGCUAUAGUCUCUUUAUCUCAAAGGAAACAAACGUUCGAGUCCUCAAUGUCUUGCUCCCAGGCUCCCUCAGCCUGUG
Polyodon spathula (Mississippi paddlefish) is the source of this 781-nucleotide long non-coding RNA. RefSeq lists it as uncharacterized. The transcript has 3 exons. The record is from RefSeq and is a predicted model, not a curated record. NCBI's taxonomy places the organism in Eukaryota, Metazoa, Chordata, Actinopteri, Acipenseriformes, Polyodontidae.